RNA transcript from Hordeum vulgare subsp. vulgare (domesticated barley), 2279 nucleotides. It is a transcript of the gene named vacuolar protein sorting-associated protein 20 homolog 2-like, with no coding region annotated. Lineage: Eukaryota; Viridiplantae; Streptophyta; Magnoliopsida; Poales; Poaceae. The record is from RefSeq and is a predicted model, not a curated record. The transcript has 13 exons.
ACGGCGACGGGAGGCCGGUGGAGGGGGAGGAACAGGAGGAGGCCUGGGCCGGUGGCGGGGGCGGAGAGGUCGUGCGGCUGAGGGCCAAGCGCGCGCUCGUCGGCGCCGGGGCGAGGGUGCACUUCUACCCGACGCUCCUCUACAACGUCCUAUGCAACCAAUUGAGGCUGAGUUCCGAUGGUGGGACCGCGUCGACCAGCUUGAGAAGGUGAUCGAAGCAGAAAAGGAAGCUGCACGCCAGUUGGUUCAACAGAAGAAGAAAGACAGAGCUUUGAUUGCACUGAAGAAGAAGAAAUCCCAGGAAGAGCUCCUGAAACAAGUUGAUACAUGGCAAAUGAAUGUCGAACAACAGCUGGCAGAUAUUGAACUAGCAAGUAAGCAAAAGGCUGUAUUGGAAAACCUAAAGACUCAAAAUGCUGCCCUUAAGUCUGUACAGAGUGAGAUUAACAUCGACGAUGUCCAAAAGUUAAUGGAUGACACAGCUGAGGCCAAGGCUUAUGAGGAUGAAAUAAAUGCCGCUCUGGGUGAACAACUAUCUGCUGAGGAUGAGGAGGCUGUCAUGGCUGAAUUCGACAACUUGGAAGCUGAGCUUGCACUUGAGUCUCUGUCGGAUGCUCCCGUUACUGAAGUACAACCUGAAAAGAAACCUAAAGCAGCGGCUUACACUGAAGCUCCAGCUGAAGACAUUGAUGAUGUUAUUGAGCUUCCUGAUGUACCUACUAAAGCGCCAGAGAGGCAUGAAGCUACAGAAAAAACAAAAGUCUUGGAAGAGCCACUACCUGCAUAGCUGGUGGAGCUGAGCUGAAUAGGGAACUCCAAGUCCUGCAGCUUGCAGGAGAGUAAUUUGCUCUUGCAGCAUGCUACAAGGAGAUCCCCGUUGUCUCCUCUGGACAGCUACAAUUAAAUUCUGUUAACUAGGAGUCUAUUUCAUUGGUUGGAUGCUUACGGCGACUUGGGUGCUUUCCACUAAGUCUGUGUUGUAGAUGCUGGUGGUGGUGGUUAUCGUGCUGUUAAAAUGGUAUGUGGAGAUUGAUGCUGAAAAACGGUUGCAUUGCUGGAGGCAUCAUCUCAUGUGGCCGUUGGCACCCACUUGUAUGACGCGGUAGAUAUCUAGCGUUGAGGUAAGGAAGGCCAUUGAUAUAUGAUGGUUUGUAUGCUAUGAUGCGGCAAUUAAUUCCCAAGGAGGUAAGGAAGAUAAUUAAUAUACUAUGGAUGAUAGAUUACAUAUACCAUGUUUCACACAUAUUUUGCACGUGGAUUAAAAAAUGCACUGGAUAUUCUUGGCUGAAGUGCGGUGAUGUGGUUCAUAACACUAUAUUCGUGGGAGUUAAUUAUUUUCCUUUUGUAUCUAUGAAAUGAACUUCCUUGUAGCGGCAAAUUGAAAAGAAUGAUGUUAUGCCAGUGUUAUAUAAGAAUGCUCAACUACUGUAUUAGGAAUAACUGAUUAUUUUCUGAUUGGAUGUGGCAUUGACAGGUUUCCAACAUGUUCUUCCGUGUGAUUGUCUUGUGGUAUUCCAUUUGGCACUGGCGGGUCAACAUGUUUACAUGUUAGGACCACAGAAGCCUUCUGCUUAUUCGGUGCUGAAAGGACGCAUGCAUCCCUAGAUAGCAUGCCUUGAUUUUUGCUUUGCGCAUUUUAGUAUUUUGAUGUGUAUACUGUGACUUGUCUCUGCUAUAAAGACCGACCGCCUAAUUUGUCCAACCUCCAUGUGCAGUGUAUUUUGCUAGGAGCCAUUCCUUUCCCAAGUGAUGUUCCACGUUUGAAGCAACUUGGAGUUCAGGGAGUUGUAACAUUGAAUGAGCCUUAUGAGACUCUGGUGCCAAUGUCCUUGUACCAGGCCCAUGGGAUUGAUCAUCUUGUGAUUGCCACAAGAGACUACCUCUUCGCACCAUCCCUCGAAGAUAUUUGUCAAGCCAUCGAUUUUAUCCACCGGAGAUAAGGAGGAGAAAAAGCAGAGGUCCUCUUCACAGGAUAGACCUUUUAUGUGUCAUGUCGAGAAUGGUGUUUGAUAAGAAGUCCAAGCAGGCUGCAUAUGAGGUGAAUCAAGAGGAAGUUGGUACGAUAUGCAGCCUUCAAAGCAUAGUUUGUGAUCGGAUCGGAUUCGAGGUGUAUUUAUAGUGAUCACAUAAAUGGAAAGCUACAUGAAGAUACAUGAGACAAGAGGUUAACACUCUUCUAUGUGUUACCCUCUAUUAUUAGAUUGUAUUGUUGACACCGAUUUUGUGACCCAAAUAUGGUGAGUACAAUUUUACCUUAUAUAUGUUUGUUGAUACAACAA